UAGGGAAUCUUCCACAAUGGACGCAAGUCUGAUGGAGCAACGCCGCGUGAGUGAAGAAGGUUUUCGGAUCGUAAAGCUCUGUUGUUGGUGAAGAAGGAUAGAGGCAGUAACUGGUCUUUAUUUGACGGUAAUCAACCAGAAAGUCACGGCUAACUACGUGCCAGCAGCCGCGGUAAUACGUAGGUGGCAAGCGUUGUCCGGAUUUAUUGGGCGUAAAGCGAGCGCAGGCGGAAUGAUAAGUCUGAUGUGAAAGCCCACGGCUCAACCGUGGAACUGCAUCGGAAACUGUCAUUCUUGAGUGCAGAAGAGGAGAGUGGAACUCCAUGUGUAGCGGUGGAAUGCGUAGAUAUAUGGAAGAACACCAGUGGCGAAGGCGGCUCCUCUGGUCUGCAACUGACGCUGAGGCUCGAAAGCAU
This 416-nucleotide ribosomal RNA is filed under the name uncultured bacterium. Its description in RNAcentral is "partial 16S ribosomal RNA". It matches the Rfam family "Bacterial small subunit ribosomal RNA", at positions 355 to 762 of the family's 1533-position model. The record is from RNAcentral.